Molecule: ribosomal RNA, 369 nt
Filed under: uncultured phototrophic eukaryote
Lineage: Eukaryota
Description: SSU rRNA
Rfam family: Bacterial small subunit ribosomal RNA
Source: RNAcentral
UACGGGGGAUGCAAGCGUUAUCCGGAAUCAUUGGGCGUAAAGCGCCUGUAGGUUGUUUAAUAAGUCUGUUGUUAAAGACUAGGGCUUAACCCUAGGAAAGCAAUGGAAACUACUAGACUUGAGUAUGAUAGGGGUAGAGGGAAUUUCUAGUGUAGCGGUGAAAUGCGUAGAUAUUAGAAAGAACACCGGCGGCGAAGGCGCUCUACUGGAUCAUUACUGACACUCAGAGGCGAAAGCUAGGGUAGCAAAAGGGAUUAGAUACCCCUGUAGUCCUAGCCGUAAACGAUGGAUACUACAUGUUGCGUUUUUAAUGCAGUGUGGUAGCUAACGCGUUAAGUAUCCCGCCUGGGGAGUACGGUCGCAAGGCUG